GAUACCGUGUCUCAAAAACAAAAAAUAAAACGUAGAAUAAGUUAGGAAAUUAUUUGUUAAAUAUCUGGAAAAGCUCUUUUACCAGAUAUCCAAAUGGCUUCUUUGCCUACUUCAGAUCUUUGCUCAAAUGUUGCCUUCUUAAGGAGGCCUUCCCUGCACAUCCUACUGAAAAUAUGCAGAUUCCUCCAGCAUCUCCGAGGAAUCCAAAAGCCUGGCAUACUGGCAAAAGCAUACACAGACCAUCUACAACAUGUUUGGACUUUCUGACUUGUCUAUAUUUUCACCAGGUAAAGAAAGCUUUUUAUGGUUCGCUGGGGACAAUCAACCCCUUCACAAUCUAGAACCUGAAGAUUGGAUAUUCUCAGAACAUCAGAGAAAGACUGUCCUUGCCAUUCACACUGCAACAAAACUUUGGAAACUUGAACCUUGGGUUCAUAAACUCACAACUGAGAAAGGUCCCUCCACACCCUUGGAACUGUACACCCAUUAGAACCCUCAAGGUAAAACUAAACAGGAAAGUUUCUCCAGAAAAGAAGAUGACAUCCUUGAUGUAAACAGGUUUUCCCAAGAUCACAGAUCAAGACUUCUACUAUCAUGAGAUUCUUUUUUUAUUUUUAUGUUUUGAGACAGAGUUUCACUC
This 640-nucleotide long non-coding RNA is filed under the name Homo sapiens (human). Its description in RNAcentral is "HSALNT0357064". The record is from RNAcentral. Lineage: Eukaryota; Metazoa; Chordata; Mammalia; Primates; Hominidae.